RNAcentral lists this long non-coding RNA (940 nucleotides) under Mytilus galloprovincialis (Mediterranean mussel). Lineage: Eukaryota; Metazoa; Mollusca; Bivalvia; Mytilida; Mytilidae. The record is from RNAcentral.
CAUGAACCGUUCAACCAAAGCUUUUUAAAUUUUAAUAUGUUAUUACUGACAACUAUACGAAGGUCAAGUUCAAUAAUGGCGAUUUUGACUUUUACCGUUCAGGAGUUAUGGUUCUUGAAAGGCGGCAAUCAAAUGUUGUCCGUGCAUUAACUCAUGAACCGGUCAACCAAAGCUUUAAAAUUUUAAUAUGUUAUUACUGACAACUAUAUGGAGGUCAAGUUAAAUAAUGGCGAUUUUGACUUUUACCGUUCAGGAGUUAUGGUUCUUGAAAGAUUGAAAAAUGGAGUUUUCAGUCGUGUCCGUGCAUUUACUCAUGAACUGUUCUACUAAAGCUUCCCAAAUUUUAAUAUGUUGUUACUGAUGACAGAAUGGAGGUCAAGUUCAAUAAUGACGAUUUUGACUUUUACCGUUCAGGAGUUAUGGUUCUUGAAAGAUUGAAAAAUGGAGUUUCCAGUCGUGUCCGUGCAUUUAUGCAUGAACUGUUCUACCAAAGCUUCCGAAAUUUUAAUAUGCUGUUACUGAUGACAAAAUGGAGGUCAAGUUCAAUAAUGACGAUUUUGACUUUUACCGUUCAUGAGUUAUGGUUCUUGAAAGAUUGAAAAAUGGUGUUUCCCGUCGUGUCCGUGCAUUUUCUCAUGAACCAUUCCACCAAAGCUUUUGAAAUUUUAAUAUGUUGUUACUGAUGACAAAAUAGAGGUCAAGUUCCAUAAUGACGAUUUUGACUUUUACUGUUCAGGAGUUAUGGUUCUUGAAAGAUUGUAAAAUGGCGUUUCCAUUCACGUUGUUGCAUUUACUCAUGAACCAUUCAAUCUAAGCUUUUCAAAUAUUAUUAUUUCAAAAUGUUGAUACUGAUGACAAAAUGGAGGUCAAAUUUGAUAUUGAUGAUUUUCACUUUCACCAUUCAUCAGUAAUGGUUCUUGUGAUAUUGCCAGGACACAAA